RNAcentral lists this ribosomal RNA (497 nucleotides) under uncultured bacterium. RNAcentral's name for it is "partial 16S ribosomal RNA". It matches the Rfam family "Bacterial small subunit ribosomal RNA", at positions 28 to 507 of the family's 1533-position model. The record is from RNAcentral.
GAUGAACGCUGGCGGCGUGCCUAAUACAUGCAAGUCGAGCGAACAGAUGAGGCGCUUGCUCCUCUGACGUUAGCGGCGGACGGGUGAGUAACACGUGGAUAACCUACCUCUAAGACUUGGAUAACUUCGGGAAACCGGAGCUAAUACUGGAUAAUAUAUUGAACCGCAUGGUUCAAUAGUGAAAGACGGUUUUGCUGUCACUUAUAGAUGGAUCCGCGUCGCAUUAGCUAGUUGGUAAGGUAACGGCUUACCAAGGCAACGAUGCGUAGCCGACCUGAGAGGGUGGUCGGCCACACUGGAAGGGAGACACGGUCCAGACUCCGACGGGAGGCAGCAGUCGGGAAUCGUCCGCAAUGGGGGAAAGCCUACCAGAGCAACACCGCGUGAGUGGUGAAGGUCUUCGGAUCGUGAAGCUCUGUUAUUAGGAAAGAACAAAUGUGUAAGUAGCUGUGCACGUCUUGACGGUACCUAAUCAAAAAGCCACGGCUAACUACGUG